This 497-nucleotide ribosomal RNA is filed under the name uncultured bacterium. RNAcentral's name for it is "partial 16S ribosomal RNA". It matches the Rfam family "Bacterial small subunit ribosomal RNA", at positions 28 to 507 of the family's 1533-position model. The record is from RNAcentral.
GAUGAACGCUGGCGGCGUGUCUAAUACAUGCAAGUCGAGCGAACAGACGAGGAGCUUGCUCCUCUGACGUUAGCGGCGGACGGGUGAGUAACACGUGGAUAACCUACCUAUAAGACUGGGAUAACUUCGGGAAACCGGAGCUAAUACCGGAUAAUAUAUUGAACCGCAUGGUUCAAUAGUGAAAGACGGUUUUGCUGUCACUUAUAGAUUGAUCCGCGCCGCAUUAGCUAGUUGGUAAGGUAACGGCUUACCAAGGCAACGAUGCGUAGCCGACCUGAGAGGGUGAUCGGCCACACUGGAACUGAGACACGGUCCAGACUCCUACGGGAGGCAGCAGUAGGGAAUCUUCCGCAAUGGGCGAAAGCUUGACGGAGCAACGCCGCGUGAGUGAUGAAGGUCUUCGGAUCGUAAAACUCUGUUAUUAGGGAAGAACAAAUGUGUAAGUAACUAUGCACGUCUUGACGGUACCUAAUCAGAAAGCCACGGCUAACUACGUG